GGAAUCCUCUGUGUGGCGGACCACUGUCAGGGCCUCCGAGAGCUGGCGCUGAAUUACUACAUUCUGAGUGACGAACUCCUCCUGGCGCUCUCAAGCGAGACUCACGUGAACCUGGAACAUCUCCGAAUAGAUGUUGUGAGUGAAAACCCUGGGCAGAUCAAGUUCCACUCCAUUAAGAAACCCAGCUGGGACGCACUGGUUAAACACUCCCCGGG
RNAcentral lists this long non-coding RNA (215 nucleotides) under Rattus norvegicus (Norway rat). Its description in RNAcentral is "long non-coding RNA NONRATT012762". Lineage: Eukaryota; Metazoa; Chordata; Mammalia; Rodentia; Muridae. The record is from RNAcentral.